Molecule: ribosomal RNA, 253 nt
Filed under: uncultured bacterium
Lineage: Bacteria
Description: partial 16S ribosomal RNA
Rfam family: Bacterial small subunit ribosomal RNA
Source: RNAcentral
UACGUAGGGCGCAAGCGUUAUCCGGAAUUAUUGGGCGUAAAGAGCUCGUAGGCGGCUUGUCGCGUCGGUUGUGAAAGCCCGGGGCUUAACCCCGGGUCUGCAGUCGAUACGGGCAGGCUAGAGUUCGGUAGGGGAGAUCGGAAUUCCUGGUGUAGCGGUGAAAUGCGCAGAUAUCAGGAGGAACACCGGUGGCGAAGGCGGAUCUCUGGGCCGAUACUGACGCUGAGGAGCGAAAGCGUGGGGAGCGAACAGG